GUCCCAGUUCGGAUUGUAGUCUGNAACCCGACUACAUGAAGCUGGAAUCGCUAGUAAUCGCGAAUCAGAAUGUCGCGGUGAAUACGUUCCCGGGUCUUGUACACACCGCCCGUCACACCAUGGGAGUCGGAAAUGCCCGAAGUCAGUGACCCAACCGUAAGGAGGGAGCUGCCGAAGGUGGAGCCGGUAACUGGGGUGAAGUCGUAACAAGGUAGC
This 216-nucleotide ribosomal RNA is filed under the name uncultured bacterium. RNAcentral describes it as "partial 16S ribosomal RNA". It matches the Rfam family "Bacterial small subunit ribosomal RNA", at positions 1285 to 1500 of the family's 1533-position model. The record is from RNAcentral.